GAGAUUUUAAUCAAAAAACUUUGACGGUAUUAAUAUUUAUAAAGGAGUUUGUUUUUUAAUAGAUAACCCACAAUUUACCUUACUUAAAUUAUAUUUGUAUAUCACCGUAUAGAUUUUAUUUAAAAUUUCAUAAUGAAUAAUUUCAAAAUAUCAGGUCAUAACGCAGUUUUUUUAAGAUAAAAUGAACUACAGUAAUUUAUUAUAAACAGGAUAUAUAUUCUUUCGAAAUAAAAAUAUGAAGAAGGAUUUAUUAGUAAAUAAAAAAUAAAUUAUUAUAUUGAAAAUUAUUAUUAAUAUGU
RNAcentral lists this ribosomal RNA (299 nucleotides) under Oroperipatus eisenii. RNAcentral describes it as "partial small subunit ribosomal RNA". Lineage: Eukaryota; Metazoa; Onychophora; Udeonychophora; Euonychophora; Peripatidae. The record is from RNAcentral.